AUGGACAUGAGGGCCCCCACUCAGCUUCUGGGGAUCCUGCUGCUCUGGUUUCCAGGUGCCAAAUGUGACAUUCAGAUGACCCAGUCACCAACCUCCCUCUCAGCAUCUCUAGGAGACAGAGUCACCAUUACUUGCCAGGAAAGUCAGGGCUUUAGCAAUAAUUUACACUGGUAUCAGCAGAAACCAGGGGAUCCUCCUAAGCUCCUGAUCUAUCGGGCACCUAACUUGCAAUCUGGGGUCCUAUCGAGGUUCAGUGGUAUUGCAGUGUUACAAGUUCAUUGCAUAAUACUACCCAUGGAAGGAAAUGCACAUUUUGCCUGGUCUGACCUAGCUGCUGCUCCUGGUGCCUACAACUGCUAA
This is a non-coding RNA of Carlito syrichta (Philippine tarsier), 360 nucleotides long. Lineage: Eukaryota; Metazoa; Chordata; Mammalia; Primates; Tarsiidae. The record is from the annotation of a RefSeq genome assembly.